Strigops habroptila (Kakapo) is the source of this 423-nucleotide long non-coding RNA. RefSeq lists it as uncharacterized. The record is from RefSeq and is a predicted model, not a curated record. The transcript has 3 exons. NCBI's taxonomy places the organism in Eukaryota, Metazoa, Chordata, Aves, Psittaciformes, Psittacidae.
GCGGACACCUGGAGCUGUCAGAUGCGUUCUCUUCUAAAUUACUUUUUUUUUCUUGAGCAAUCUAUAAGCAUUUUUCUUGCCAGUUUUAAUUACCGAGUAGUAUAGAAAAUAUUGGUAUACCUCAAUUUUCAUGAGAAGCAAUCCAGAGUUUCUGAUAUGAUGCCUUUGUUCAUGAUUUCAGGUACUGGGAUACCUUUUUCUGCCUUUUCGGCAACACUGGACUGUGAACAGUUUCCUGUAGGAUCCCCACAAAAGAGUUAAAUGUAAGAACACAAAUGACAGCCACAAUUCCAUAACCAACAGAAGAUUUCUAAACAGCUCUUCCUAUUUCCUCAUUGUUAUCAAGGAGACUAAAACUACACAUGCAAAAUGAACGAAUUUCAGUGUUCACAGAAUCACAGAAUUGUUGGAGUUGGAAGGGAC